This 413-nucleotide unclassified non-coding RNA is filed under the name soil metagenome. Its description in RNAcentral is "partial contains 5.8S ribosomal RNA, internal transcribed spacer 2, and large subunit ribosomal RNA". The stretch from base 1 to 121 matches the Rfam family "5.8S ribosomal RNA", at positions 35 to 154 of the family's 154-position model. The record is from RNAcentral.
GAUGAAGAACGUAGCGAAAUGCGAUAGGUAGUGUGAAUUGCAGAUGUAACGUGAAUCAUCGAAUCUUUGAACGCAAAUUGCAUUCCCUGGUAUUCCGGGGAGUAUGCCUGUUUGAGGGUCGCCAAAUACACAUCGAUUAACAUUGCUUUUGAAGUAAAUGUUUUAUCGGAUUUGAGCUUUCUUUAUUCUUUACGAUAAAGUGGCUUAAAAUUUAUUUUUUUUGGUAUCAAGCGUAUUUUACUAUCAAUUUUUGAUUAAAAAAGAACGUUUCGAAUGCCAUCCUUUUAAUGUAAUACGUUUGACUAUAUGUAAUAAAUAUGUAGUUCAUUCGCAUACGAUUCAUAAAUUUUUUUUUUUGACCUCAAAUCAGGUAAGAGUACCCGCUGAACUUAAGCAUAUCAAUAAGCGGAGGA